UCUCCUAAAAAGAGCUAGCUCAGUUUAUAUAUAAGACCGACAUGGGUAGUCUCACAAAGAAAACAAUUGUUUUGGUCUCUUGUGUUUAGAAAAAAAAAAGAGAUGGGAAGAAUUGGAGCUGUAGUUCUCUUUCUAUUGGUUCUAAUUGUCUGCACAGACAUGAAACAUAUUGGAGCUGCGAAUGAUGACGUGCAGUGUUGUGCCACCCUUAAGCACUUUCCAAAAUGCGAUAGUUCCAAUGAGAAAAAUUGUGACGCAACGUGCCGUACAAAAUGUAGCAAGGGGGGCGUGUGUAAGCCUUGGACCCCCCAAGGGAUUUGUCAUUGUUUAUGUUAGUGAAUAAUAUAACGACAAUUAUAAUUCAGCCUUAUCCCAACUAAAUGGAUUCGGCUAUAUGAAUUUUAUUUGUCAGUGAAAUAAUAAUUUUAUUUUAGUAAUAAAUUCGGUAUGAUGAAAAUCCAUUAGUGCUUC
This is a long non-coding RNA of Macadamia integrifolia, 471 nucleotides long. RefSeq lists it as uncharacterized. The record is from RefSeq and is a predicted model, not a curated record. NCBI's taxonomy places the organism in Eukaryota, Viridiplantae, Streptophyta, Magnoliopsida, Proteales, Proteaceae. The transcript has 2 exons.